UGAAAUGAAGAAGAUAUGUACACGUGGACGUUAAAAGCGUUGUGAAGGAGACUUAAAAGUAACACGUGGUGCGAUAGUGGUGGUGCGGUCUCAGACGGGCGCGGCCCACGACAGUGGUCGAUGAGAGAGCGAAGGGUUGCCUGGCAACCCUCACACCCCGUACGAUCUCGGCCAGCAUCCCCCAUAGAUUUCAUCUUCUCGACUUCUAGCAGUAUGCGACUACUACUACUACGUUGCCUCCAUAGUUGGCCUCGGGUAUAACCUGUUGAGUCGUAUUGAUCCCGACGUUUCUAUCCUCUCCUUCCCUAAUGUCUAGGGCUAGAAGAGCUAGAGAGAAAGCUAGAGAGAGAGAGAGAGAAAGAGAGAGAGAGAGAGAGAGAGAGAGAGAGAGAGAGAGAAGAGAGAGAGAGAGAGAGAAAGAGAGCUAAAUAGACAAAGGUUUCUAAUGAUUUGUAAUCCAAAUUCAAAAGAAAAAUUCAAUAUAAUUGUACUUUUUCCUACUAGUUCAUCAGUCAAAAACUUAUUGUCAUUGUACCGGACUAAUUGGUUUUCUCCGAAAUUUGACCGAGAGCAUAUUUAAACACAGUUGAUUACGAUAAUGAGAAAUACUUACAACGCCACCACCGGCACUGUGUAGCAAAAGCGACUUUCCAGGCGUUAGAUUAGCCAAUUCGAAGAGUAAGAUGUACGCUACGGUGUAAUUCAUAGUAGUAGCAGCCGCAUCCAAGUAACUCAUGCCAGUU
Molecule: long non-coding RNA, 743 nt
Organism: Vespa mandarinia (Asian giant hornet)
Lineage: Eukaryota; Metazoa; Arthropoda; Insecta; Hymenoptera; Vespidae
Source: RefSeq, a predicted model, not a curated record